Molecule: ribosomal RNA, 349 nt
Filed under: uncultured bacterium
Lineage: Bacteria
Description: bacterial SSU rRNA
Rfam family: Bacterial small subunit ribosomal RNA
Source: RNAcentral
GGGCCCGCACAAGCGGUGGAGCAUGUGGUUUAAUUCGAUGAUACGCGAGGAACCUUACCAGGGCUUAAAUGGAAAAUGACAGGGGCAGAGACGCCCCCUUCUUCGGACAUUUUUCAAGGUGCUGCAUGGUUGUCGUCAGCUCGUGCCGUGAGGUGUCAGGUUAAGUCCUAUAACGAGCGCAACCCCUACCGUUAGUUGCCAGCGAGUAAUGUCGGGGACUCUAACGGAACUGCCGGUGCAAACCGUGAGGAAGGUGGGGACGACGUCAAAUCAUCACGGCCCUUACGUCCUGGCCACACACGUGCUACAAUGGUAGUGACAGAGGGCAGCCACUGGGUGACCAGGAGCG